Molecule: long non-coding RNA, 2648 nt
Organism: Astatotilapia calliptera (eastern happy)
Lineage: Eukaryota; Metazoa; Chordata; Actinopteri; Cichliformes; Cichlidae
Source: Ensembl
CUUUGUUGUCUGUGCAGCGCUCCAUUUCUCUCUCUUUCUCGCUUACUCAGAAAAUGACAGGAAGUGUAAAAGGAAGGGAAGUUGCUUCUCGCUUUGUGUACGUGUUUUGAAAUGUUGCGGCCAGCCUCUUCUUAAAUUACGAACUCUAUCGUGAGAACAUCAAAAAGUCCAGCGACGGCUUCUCUGAUGGGCAGCGGCACGAGUGUGAAUGGAUGUGUUUGCUGAAAACUCGAGAGGGAAGAAGACACCACGCGCCACGAGUCAUGCCUGUGCCAGUGUGAACAAGUACCUGUGCCUGAGCGCGCGCGUGUGUGUGUGUGCGUGAUCUUAUGGUACAACCAUGGCAAGAGCAGCACUUACUAAACUUCUUCUCCUCGUGAUUCUUGCCUUCAUCAUCUGCCUCCCGGAAUUUUUCACAUUUUACCAAGUAACAAAAGUGAACUUCUUCUGCCUUCCCUACCGACCCUGCGAACAAGGAAAUCAGGUGAAAGAGGGAGAAAAUGGAAAGGCUGGAAAUGAUGACGCUAAGAGAGGCCAUAUGUGUGACCCAUCUCAGACUCCAGAUCAGGAAAAAUGGGAGCAAGCGUGCAUACGAGAAGAUCAAAGCAAUACAACAGAUUCGGCUUCAGACGUCAGGCGAGGCAGAGAUGAUCCAAAAGCGAGGUGGUUCAUGUGUGAGACAGACAUGGAAAUGGCAGAAGUACACAGAAAUAUCUCAACUUCAGCUUACGAGUCACAUCUGGAGGUGUCAGCCGAGCUUCAUCUGCCCAACGCAGAGACCCUGAAUCUCACCUUGUACGGCCGCAGCAAUCACAGUUCCUUACACCUCUACCCACCUGAGGAGGAGGAGGAGGAGGAGGAGGAAAAUAAGGGUGGUGAUGAAGGACAGAGGAAGGCAUUCUACUGCUGUCUCCCUUUCCUGCCCAACUCUGAAUCGCCCAAUCAAAGCCGCUGUCUCCUUUGGUUCGCCAAUCAAACGGUUUGGAAUUCAACAGCAAAGGAAAAGCUGCCAUGGAAACGGACACAGAAAGAUGAGUGGCAGUGUGCGCUCAGAGUGGUCUGGCUGGCUCUGCUGUGUUUGGUGUUGCUGAGUAUAGUAACGAGUGUGAUCGGACAAAUCUACAAGAAAAGGCGUUUGUGCAGGAAGCCGAAGGUGCACCCUGAUGGCUUCAACUUAAUUACUCAGCAAUUAAAUGACGGUGCCAAAGAAACAGAAGUCAGCCCUCCUGAAGGGACAAACCUCCACUUAUACGGGUUUCAUACCUGGUCAGGUCAGUCCUUUUAAUCAGUCAGCAUCAUUUAAUGGAUCUGUUGUUUCACUGCUUUCACCACGUUAAUCUUUUUCUUUUUUUUUACCAAAAUGGAUAGGGCUCUCACCAAUUAAAGAAGUUGACAGUCAAAGUAGGUACACACACAUGCACCUUUUAGAAAAAUGAGUCAGAUCACAAACACACGUUCUGAUUGUCCUCACGUAUACUUUUCAGAUGACAUAUCAAUGUUAAUGGAUGGAAAUGCUGACCACUGCUAUACUGGUAAAGUCUUUACUGGAACAAUUGUACAGGUUCAAAGAGAAAGCUGUUGGUGGUUAUGACCACCAAUAGCUGGUUGAUGACUUUCAGAUACUCUUGCACGCAUUCAAGACUUAACUUGGCGCCUCUUCAUGCAACCAAAGUUUGAUUAAUUAUAUGCGGUUUAGUUUUUAGAUGCUAUGGGUCGGCCUUUAGUCCUGUCCUUACCAGCGUAUUGCUGGAUACGUUAUUUGAAACUGCUGCACGGUUGGGAACCACAUCGCCCUUCAUUUUCAUACGUGUGUGGUAAUCUGCGAAUGGUGCUACGAGAGCUCAAAAACUCCAAAGUGUAGCUUUAAAUAUGAUGGACUUAAUGCAUAAAUACAAAAAGUAUACCAAUGUGUAGCUAAUUAUCAUUGAAUUGUUUGCUGUAUUAGGCUGUUCUCUUUACGUAAAACGUAAACAUAAGGUCAGAGGUUAAAUGUGAUGUGAUAUUUGGAUGUAAAUUAUAAUGUGAUAUUUAGAAUACACAUACACCAGUAUCAUUUCCUAAAUGUUGCCAAUACAAACAAAGGCAGUCGUAAAGUUAAAAGACAUUUUAUGAUGUUUGACCUUAUAAAAUACACACAACACUUAUAAGAAUCAUAGUUUCUAAGUUAUAAGGCUUUUUGGUAAUUUUGGACCUAUACAUCAUUAUUUUGACAUUGAGGAUUGUGGUUGAUGUGAGCCAAAUUUUGAAUGGAUUGUUAACACGACUCCAUUCUAAAUAAAAAACGUAAAGUUUUAUCGGAAUUCAUUCAAAACUUUUUGAGUUAUGGUGUUUACAGACAGAACGGCAUGCACACUUCCAAAAACGUAAUCUUCCAGGCGGAGUUAAUCGUCAAAAAAUUCAUCUCAGUAGACAAUUACUGCAGAGUAUCAACACAUCAGAACCCUUUUAAAAUGUCAUCUAACAGUGUGCUUGGUGCCUUUUUUCUGUUGUCUUUAGGUUUUCUGCAUCAUCGCAGCCAUCCCUCCGUCAGCUCCAUCAAAGAUGAGCCUGCUCGAUGACAGGCGAGCAGCCGGAGGAAGCUGGAGGAAAACAGCCGCCUCAUUUACCAGCAUUACUAAUGGUGAAAAUAAAGAUAUCUGAACCACCUA